RNAcentral lists this transfer RNA (72 nucleotides) under Bos taurus (domestic cattle). It matches the Rfam family "tRNA". Rfam says of the family: Transfer RNA (tRNA) molecules are approximately 80 nucleotides in length. Their secondary structure includes four short double-helical elements and three loops (D, anti-codon, and T loops). Lineage: Eukaryota; Metazoa; Chordata; Mammalia; Artiodactyla; Bovidae. The record is from Rfam by way of RNAcentral. RNAcentral also lists the same sequence under 2 other names.
UCCCCGGUGGCUCAGAUGGUAAAGCGUCUGCCUACAAUGCAGGAGACCCAAGUUCAAUCCCUGGGUUGGGAA